Habropoda laboriosa is the source of this 45-nucleotide non-coding RNA. NCBI's taxonomy places the organism in Eukaryota, Metazoa, Arthropoda, Insecta, Hymenoptera, Apidae. The record is from Rfam.
AAAACGGUCCUUUUCAGGACCAACAAAAUCUAUAAACGUUUGGAA